RNAcentral lists this microRNA (18 nucleotides) under Corchorus capsularis. Its description in RNAcentral is "sRNA CCACVL1_17118". The record is from RNAcentral. Lineage: Eukaryota; Viridiplantae; Streptophyta; Magnoliopsida; Malvales; Malvaceae.
UUCUCAUCCUUCUGUUCU